ACUCAAAUGAAUUGACGGGGACCCGCACAAGCGGUGGAGUGUGUGGUUUAAUUCGACACUAAGCGAAGAACCUUACCAAGGCUUGACAUCCUGGGAAAGCUCCUGAAAGGGAGCCGUGCCGCAAGGAACCCAGUGACAGGUGUUGCAUGGCUGUCGUCAGCUCGUGUCGUGAGAUGUCCCGUUCAGUCGGUCAACGAGCGCAACCCUUAUUCUGUGUUACAAGUGUCACAGAAAACUGCCUCCGUUAAGGGGGAGGAAGGUGGGGAUGACGUCAAGUCAGCAUGGCCCUUACGCCUUGGGCUACACACGCACUACAAUGGGAAGUAACAAUGGGUCGCAAAGCCGCGAGGCGAAGCUAAUCCUAGCAAACCUUCCCCCAGUUCGGAUUGGAGGCUGCAACUCGCCUCCAUGAAGUCGGAAUCGCUAGUAACGGCCGGUCAGCCAUACGGCCGUGAAUACGUUCUCGGGUCUUGCACACACCGCCCGU
RNAcentral lists this ribosomal RNA (487 nucleotides) under uncultured bacterium. RNAcentral's name for it is "partial 16S ribosomal RNA". It matches the Rfam family "Bacterial small subunit ribosomal RNA", at positions 899 to 1397 of the family's 1533-position model. The record is from RNAcentral.